CAGAUGCCGUGGCUGAAACAAUCAAUGAUGAGAAGUAAAUUAGUUUCGUGUUUGAAAAAUACGUCAUCAACCCACACGCACGGUGAUGCCAUGGCGAAAAUAAUUCCUACGUCAAACUGCGAAAAACUGCAGGGUAUCUCCAAAUCCAGGAUACAGCCAACCAAUACGCGGAAAUAAUUCGGACCAUUUGAUUAAAAAUAUGAGGAGCUUUUGAAAAGUUACAAAAACAAAAUACUGUACUAAUUUCGUCUGGAAACCUUCUGCAAUCAUUCACGAAGUGUAACUGAAGGGGUGGAGAAAAUAAAGUGGAUGCGAUGAAAUCCUGAAAAUCAAAGUAGCAGCUGUCAAAAACCUAGAAUGACGAUGCCAACUCGGUGCAUCUCUGUACAAGAGGUCAAGUCCUGCAGCAGGCAUGACAAAACUUUGGGAAUUUGAUAAGUGUAAGGAAAUCCUUUCCGGACACGUGAGACCCACAGAGAGGUAACGAAGUCAUCAGAAAAAGACCGAAAAAUCUUUCGUCUCAGAAUCGAAUUGCAUGACUCUUUCUGAACUGAUUGAUUCCUCAGGAAUGGGAAAUAGAGAUAUGGAUGAGCAAACUAGCAACAGUUUAGGAGAUACGAAUGAAAAAUACGGACAACAUCAAUUCUUUAUUAAUUUUAAUACAUGUUACGUGGAAUGGAGACAAUGCAAUACAAUACGUCACACAUCGUAUCGUGCGAAGGCGGAUUGCAGCUCUACGCAGGCCGAUACCUAGGCUAUAUUUUGUAACUAUAACAAUAACUGUCUGUUACGGUAUAUUUCAAAUUUUGCUGAGGACAAUGUAUACUGCACAUCAGUAUCCACACGAGACAAUUUAAUUUCAUAUGUGAAGUUUAACCAGAUCAUUGCAGUCCUCUUUGUCUCUCACAGUAAUUCUAUUAGUAAUUUUGUAAAAUAACUACACAUUGACACGUGAAAACUUGUAUUGCAAU
This 971-nucleotide unclassified non-coding RNA is filed under the name Neodiprion lecontei (redheaded pine sawfly). Its description in RNAcentral is "uncharacterized LOC107221354, transcript variant X2". The record is from RNAcentral. Lineage: Eukaryota; Metazoa; Arthropoda; Insecta; Hymenoptera; Diprionidae.